RNAcentral lists this long non-coding RNA (1522 nucleotides) under Anser cygnoides (Swan goose). RNAcentral's name for it is "lncRNA (ENSACDG00005003027.1)". The record is from RNAcentral. Lineage: Eukaryota; Metazoa; Chordata; Aves; Anseriformes; Anatidae.
ACCGCAUUUGCACAAUAUCAGAAACACCAGCUUGUCUUGGUAGGGCACAGGCCAGUGGUAUUAGAUAAAGUUCUGUGGAGCUAUUCAAGCAGUAAAUUGAUGGGACAGAGAUUUAUCAUGGAGAAAAUCCACUAUAACAUCUAUUAUAUUAACAUCUAUUAUAUAACAUCUAUCAAUUAUAGAAAUAAUUGAUAGAACUAGAGAACAGAUAUGAAUUAAAAUGAUAGCUGAUCCAUUAAAGCACAGAAAACCAGAUGCCAGUUGAGAUUCACUCUACUUGAACGAGAUGUGCCUGAUCACUCUGCACAGGCCUGCAAGGAUGGAACGGGAUCCUGGCAGCAGUGUGUGCACAUACAACAGACAAUGCCAGAAAGACCUGAAGAGCAAACAAUGCUGUUCAACUCCUCCGCUCCCAUCGAAUAACAAUUUGGAAGGAAAAUGUGUCUCCAUGGCAAAUGAAAAUGAGAAAAACUGUCCAGAAAAGCAUCACGAGAGACUGCUCAGAUGAAAGACAGAGUGAAAGACCUAGUGAAUGCAAUAGAGUGAGUAUUCUGUAAUAUUUAUUAUUGCUACAAACGUGCUUAUUGAGGACCUAAAGUUUUGUUGCUUCUUAAAAAGAACACAGGUUUAUUAAAUGUAGAGAGAAGGGCAAUAAGAAUGGUUGGAGACUUCUCUAUAAGAAGGGUUAAAACAUCUUUCUCUCUUCAGCUCCAAAAAAAAAGUGGCAGAGCCAGAAUCUGACAGAACUUUGUGAAAUGCUGAAGGUGGUGGAGAACAUGAAGAAACGGUUACUUGCUACGUACUUGUACAAAUACCAGAGACUGUGUCAGGCAGUAGUUACAAAAGCAGUGGUGGGAGAUAUAAGACUCCUUGCUGCUGGGCAUCGAAGAGGCCAAAAGUACUAAUGAAUUGUGCAAGGGAUGAGACAAAUUCACUAAGGGUAUGUCCACCAGUGACUGCCUCAGGUAAUUCAAAACUAUCACUUCUUGGAAACUGUUUCAAUGGGAAUGAAUCACUCUGUGAUCCAUGUCCUAGUUCUUCUGUGCUUUCCCUAAACAUCUUUUCCUGGCCAGUAUAAGAAGGAGGACAUUUCUCAGUCACAUAACUGGUAGACUGGACACACCAGGAUGAACUAGAAGUUCAGAGCCCCGUCUCCUAUAUUUGGAUCCUAUAUUAGGGUCCUAUAUUGACCCUUUUGUACUAGUGAUGCUACCAUGGAAAGUCCUUCCCCUUCAGUAAGAGCUUGAGCCACUGAAACAGGAACCUUGAAGACAAAAUUGGAUUGUGAAAAUAAUAUGAAACAAGUAGAGUUUUGGCCCUAGUGAGACAUUCAGAAGUAUGCUCACAUUCGAAAUAUUUGAAUGAAUAUUUUUAGCAAAUGUGACAAAGGAUGUCUCAAUGCCUUUAUCAGCACAUUACAAUACAGGUAAACGAAAACAUUCUUCCCCAGGAAUCUCCAAUAUCUAAACCACCAGUCAAGACUUUUAAUAAAGAGGGAAGAGAAAUGAUUCCUUGGGAAAUU